GACGAACGCUGGCGGCGUGCCUAAUACAUGCAAGUUGAGCGCUGAAGGUUGGUACUUGUACCAACUGGAUGAGCAGCGAACGGGUGAGUAACGCGUGGGGAAUCUGCCUUUGAGCGGGGGACAACAUUUGGAAACGAAUGCUAAUACCGCAUAAAAACUUUAAACACAAGUUUUAAGUUUGAAAGAUGCAAUUGCAUCACUCAAAGAUGAUCUCGCGUUGUAUUAGCUAGUUGGUGAGGUAAAGGCUCACCAAGGCGAUGAUACAUAGCCGACCUGAGAGGGUGAUCGGCCACAUUGGGACUGAGACACGGCCCAAACUCCUACGGGAGGCAGCAGUAGGGAAUCUUCGGCAAUGGACGAAAGUCUGACCGAGCAACGCCGCGUGAGUGAAGAAGGUUUUCGGAUCGUAAAACUCUGUUGGUAGAGAAGAACGUUGGUGAGAGUGGAAAGCUCAUCAAGUGACGGUAACUACCCAGAAAGGGACGGCUAACUACGUGC
RNAcentral lists this ribosomal RNA (498 nucleotides) under uncultured bacterium. RNAcentral's name for it is "partial 16S ribosomal RNA". It matches the Rfam family "Bacterial small subunit ribosomal RNA", at positions 28 to 508 of the family's 1533-position model. The record is from RNAcentral.